Molecule: ribosomal RNA, 119 nt
Filed under: Pteropus alecto (black flying fox)
Lineage: Eukaryota; Metazoa; Chordata; Mammalia; Chiroptera; Pteropodidae
Also listed under: 1 other name
Source: RNAcentral
GUCUACAGCCAUAUCACCCUGAACAAGCCCGAUCUUGUCUGAUCUUGGAAGCUAAGCAAGGCCGGGCCUGGUUAGUACUUGGAUGGGAAACUAUCUAGGAAGACCAGGUGCUGUAGGUG